AACUCCUUGAGAUUCACAAAAGAUGAACAUUACCUCCUACAGCACUACACUAAACUAAACUACACUACACUACAUUACACUACACUACAUUGCACUACACUACACUACAUUACACAACACUACACUACAUUACACUACACUACACUACAUUACACUACACAACACUACACUACAUUACAUUACACUACAUUACAUUACGCUACACUACACUACAUUACACUACACUACAUUACACUACACUACAUUACACAAAAUUACACUACACUACACAACAUUACACUACACUACACUACACUACAUUACACUACACUACACUACACAACACUACACUACAUUACACUACACUACAUUACAUUACACUACACUACACUACAUUACACUACACUACAUUACACUACACUACAUUACACUACAUUACAUUACACUACACUACACUACAUUACACUACACUACAUUACACUACACUACACCACACUACAUUACACUACACUACACUACACUACACAACACUACACUACAUUACACUACACUACACUACACUACAUUACACUACACUACACUACACCACACUACACUACACCACACUACACUACACAACACUACACUACAUUACACUACACUACACUACACCACACUACACUACACUACACUACAUUACACUACACUACACCACGCUACACUACACAACACUACACUACACUACACUACACUACAUUACACUACACUACACUACACCACACUACAUUACACCACACUACACUACACAACACUACACUACAUUACACCGCACUACAUUACACUGCACUACACUACACUACACUACACUACACAACACUACACUACACUGCACUACACUACACUGCACUACACUACACUACGCUACACAACACUACACUACAUUACGCUACGCUACACUACACUACACUACGCUACGCUACACUACACUACACUACGCUACGCUACAUUACACUACACUACGCUACACUACAUUACACUACACUACACUACAUUACGCUACACUACACUACGCUACGCUACACUACAUUACACUACACUACACUACAUUAUGCUACACUACACUACACUACACUACACUACACUACACUACACUACACUAAUCCCCGUGGAAACCAGCAUUUAAAACAGGAGAGGAAACAGGACUGA
RNAcentral lists this long non-coding RNA (1164 nucleotides) under Callithrix jacchus (white-tufted-ear marmoset). Its description in RNAcentral is "lncRNA (ENSCJAG00000087134.1)". The record is from RNAcentral. Lineage: Eukaryota; Metazoa; Chordata; Mammalia; Primates; Cebidae.